AAAGACAUACUUUUAAAUACUGGACUAAUUAGAAAACCAAAAACAUUAAGAGUAAAAGUGGGCUAACAAUAUUAUUUUAUCUUGAGCAGUCAAAAGCAUUUAUAUCUCAAAGUACAAACAUCCAUGAAGGAAAAGAAGCCCCAAUAGGGCAGGGAAGGUGUCUGUCUUCUUCACUGUUUUUAUAGUAAGUGCUAGUAAACAGUGAACGGUCAGUGAAUGUUCAAUGAAGAGAUAAACUAAUGUCUUUGUUAAUAUAGCAAUAACAUCAACUGGAAAGUAUCUAUCCAGGUGCCCAAGCCAACAGACAACACACUGCUGUUUCUCCCAUUAGAAUAUAUACCAGAAAUAAAACUAAUAUAUUAAUACUCUGAGAUCUGAAAAGAAUUUUGCCUAAGGUCACAAUUAUCUCAAGUUGUUCUUUACCUCAAUGCUAGUGAAGUAACCAGGUGAAGUAACUCAUGUCAUUUUAUAGGCAAGAAAAUUAAAGCUCAAGGAGGAAAGAAACAUGGCCAUCAAUAUAGUCAAUCAGGAAAAAGACUGGUUAUGUAUUACUCCAGAGGAUGAAACUAGGACCAAAGGUGUAAGUAACCAAGAGGCACACUUCAGCUUAAAAAUGGGGAACUACUCAAUGGAGCCGUUACAAUACCAGAAAAGGCAGUGAGUUAUCCAUCACUAAAAGUAUUCCAGCAAAGACAGGAGAAACAUCUGUCUAAAAUUCUGCAUACGGCAUUUCUGCACCAAUGGUAAGGCUGGACUACCUGACAUCUAAGGACCUCUCAACUCUAGCAUUAGACUAACUCUGACAGUAAGAAACAACUCCUUACCUCUUUCAUCAUUAAAUAAAAAGCAAAUCCAUCAAUCAUAUGGGAAAAUGAUCUUUUGUUCAGAUGAAAAAAAUUUUUUAAGAUGAAAAGGACUUAGGAAAGGGAUCAGAAAUCAUUCAUUCAUUCCGAAGAACAGACAUGAUAAUAUAAACAUUCACAUAAUUAGAAACCAAUUCAAGAAGUAUUCUAGACCACAAAAGGCUUAAAAGAGAAUGGAAGGGCAGACCACACGGCCUUUGUCAUCACAUCUGUUAACAUUCAACUGCUGUUUCCAUUUACACUUAAAACACCCAAAAUAAUGUAGGUUCCAUGUUAUUUCCCAAGAUAAUUAAAACUUAAUAAAAUAUCUUUUCCUUGGUUCAAACUAAACAAAGACUGGCCACAAAGGCAGAAACCCAAAAUUACACACAAUGUGAUUUUUUUAUAUGUACAAUAAAUUUUCCUAAGGAUACUCUGAUGGAAACUAAUUAAUCAGAUGAAAAAAAACCCACUGAAAUUAAACAUUUACAUAAAUGAAGAUGAAAGGGACCUGUGGAUCAUUCAGUCCAAACCCUUGGCUCUGCAGUGUCCCUAAGAGGUCUGACAUUGCUUUUUGAAUGCAUGCAUUAUCUGUCCCCAGACAGCAAGCUGACUCAGGAGUCCACUCCACUCACUUUCAUUUCUUUGCCUUGACUUUGGAAUCCAGAGAGCCAUCCCCAUUCAAAAAUCAAACCUAUCUUAAUAAUGGUGACUGGUCACAUCUAUUCUUUAAAUAGCCAGUGAAAACAAUCUAUAACCCCAGUCCUAGCAGUACCUUAAGAUUUUUUUAAAGGACAUUUAUACAGUUGAUGUUUAACUUAAAUCCUCCUCUUUGUACCACUUGAACCUGCUAUUUUGGGUCACUUGUCCCAACUCCCAAGCCACCACUGUGAACAAGUGGCAAUUACAAUUAUUCUCCCUUUAUUGCAAUGUGUUCUUCAUUUACAAAAAGUUAUGUUCUAGAAAUUCACUGUAAAGUAAAUCCCACCUUUCCAACUAUGUCCAUUAUACAAGGAGGGUAACCUACCAAGUUUUAAAAAAUAAUAUAUACUUGGCUACCCCUCCACAGCAAAAAAGGGGAUGAUUUUAAAUGGCUUACAAUGAAAAUACACAAACAAUAAAAAUCCAGGUAGAUAAAAACUUUUUCUUCUAUUGUUCAAAUAUUGACAAUGUUUAAUGUGACUACUUAUAAUCAUACCUAACUACUAAUACAUAUGUAUUGGAAAUACAAUAAAUAUAUAUCUUUCCAUAUAAGUCCUACAAAACAUCAACUUUUAUAAAAUGAGUUUAAUUACAUUAUUUCCUCUACUAUCUCAUACUAUAACUGUGCAUAAACCAGUUUGGUUUUUUACCUCUUGUCCAUGCCAAACUGGGUAUCUGAUAGUGCAAUUAUUCAAAAUAACGUUUUAAAAAUAUAAUGAACAAUAUAAAUAUCAACUAACAAUUACCCAACAGUCUUAUUUGACUGAAGAAAACUUUCUUUUUCUGUUAAAGAUUAGCCUCACAAACAACAAGAAGUUCAAUUAUUUGGAAAUUCUCUCUUCAGGAUGAUUUGCUCAAUCACCUUAACACACUCUGCUUGUUAUGAUGUGACACACAAUUAGAAGAAUAAAAAAGAAGAAAAGCAACAUAAAACCGCAGUUUCCAGUUAAGGCUCAAAUAAUUUCUAAAUAUAGACAUGCUAAAAGGUUGAAAAACAUAGAAAUACAAUUCUAUGUCAAGUAGUUGGCUAAGCUAAAUGACAUAAUUUGAAGCAUUUAAACUAGAAAAGAACAGCAGGGUAACUAAGUUUCAGAGAGGGCAAAUGACUCUCCCACUGAGACAAUGUGAUUAUUCAAGGGGCCAUUUAUUCCAUGUAUUUAUUUUCCAUACUUUUUCUCUUCUUACUUUACUUCUGUCUUUGAAUAAUUUUACUUUUUCAUCCCAAGGGCCAAAGCAAAGAAUAAAAACAGGCCACUAAACAGAGUGCUAUGACUUUAACCAAACUAUUUUAAAAUGUGUUCACAAUCUUUAAAAUGGGAGUACUAAUAGUCAUCUACUUUCCUGUAAAGCUGCUGUGGGCAUUAAAUGAAUUAAAACAGAAUCCAUGCUAAGUAUUCAGCACAGAGAAAACAUUCAAAGGUGGCUGCUGCUGCCCUGCCCUGCUUCAUCUGUGGCAGGCACUGUUCCUGGCAUAGCAGACAGAGAUGAAUGAGAGAUGCCCUUGCCCUUACAAGCCUCCUAAGCCACUAAGGAUGCUCCAGUGGAAAUUAGCAAAACAGAUAUAGGAAACAGACAGUAGGUAAGUUCAAGGAGGCACAAAGCCAAUACGGUUUGAGAUGAGAGGGAGAAGAAACAGGGAAAGCUUCUUAUUCUUAGUAAUUGAGGUUUCUUAAAAAAAAGGUGAUGAUUCAGGAGCUUGGGUCCCCAGAAUUAGACAUCUGGUAUUAUAGGACUAAGGAUGGCAUCAACAAAAAUUAUCCACCAUAUUCCUCCACAAAUGGGGGUGGGAAGUGGUAUCUGUCUUAAUAUAACAUUCAUUUUAAGCCGGGAACAGUGAUGCAUGCCUACAGUCCCAGCUAGUAGGGAGACUGAGGUGGGAGGACCACUUAAUUUGAGGCCACAGUGUGCUAAACCACAUCUGUGAAUAGCCACUGUGCUCUAGCCUGGGCAACAUAGCCAGACCCCAUCUCUUAAGAAAAAAGAAAAACCGUUCAUUUUAGAGAAUAUUUUAGGUUAUCUUUUUCCGUAAGAAAAAAAAAAAAAACAUGUUAACAAAACUACAAACUCCUAAGGUAUAGACCACAGCCUCAGCUUGAGAUCCUAAGACUGCAAGGGAUCACUGAAACCGUAAAUGGGGGAUGGGGGUGUAAGGGAGCAAAAUGUACAGGGGACCUUACGCUAUAAUCAUUUCCAAAAAAUGUUAAUGGAAUUGUCUAUUCACAUUAAAGAUCCACGGGUUACCAAACAUCAACCAUCUGAAUCAAAUUUCAUAUAGAUACGACUAUCUGAAGUGUAUGUUUUUAUUUCAGACCCAGCUAUACGUGCUUGGUUAAUAAAAAUGAAAAAAAGGAAAUAUUUAAUAAAUGUAAUCGGCUUGGUUAAAAAACAAAACCCCAACUCGUGGAACUAUAGGAAGGAGUGAAGAGAUAAUGAAGUUUUUGAUAAUACAAAGGGUGGGAGUUACAAGUUUCCCCUUACUGGCUGCCUUCAAGCUAGCUGGAAAUGAGGUCACAGAAAGGAGCACUGAAGUCUCAUCUGGCUAACACUCAGCAGGUCUAUAUAUAAUAAUAUAACUGAAUUAUGCUAUUUCUAGGGUUGGGGUAGAGUUUAAGAUCAAAAUGAAAACAAAACAGAGUAAAAGAACAUGCUAAUCAUUCAUCUGAGGAAAAGCAAAUGCCAACAGCGUGGGGAGGGGACUUCAGGACUACUGAGAGGUUUCCUAAAAAGUCAUUUCUAAAGUGAAUUAUCUAUACAACAAAAGAGGAGGAUUAGAAAAUAAUAAAAAUGGGAAGACCAGAAGAAGAGUUUUAGGUAGAAACCUCUAUUUUUUCCUUUUAAUAGCUUUCUUUUAUCAGUAUAGCCAUAAAUCAUGAAAGAAGCAAUAGAAGUAGAAUGUUCUGAAACCACAGCAGAUAAAAUGGGGCACCUUUUACAAGACCACUUAACAGCUGCCAGGAUUUAUGCAAUCACUUUUCAGUUCCAAGUACGGUCACAAGCCACUGACAUAAGACCUAACACUAAUGUAGAAGGCAAUGCUUUCUUAGAAUAGCAAGUAUUGUUUCAGAAGUGUGUAGGUCCCAGGAGUUCUAUAAUAAAACCUAGGACCUUUGUUUUCUGUACAACACUCAGACACCUAAUUGCCCACGUUUAUCCAUCUGAGUUCCUAUUUACACAGAAGAACUACAUGUCUGCAUUCAAAAUUAUGUAGAGCUUUGGUUACUAAUGAUUAUUUCUUGUUCCAAAAAGAUCAGUGGUUAGUUUUAAGGAACAUGACUAGAAAGCAUUCCAAAAGUAGAGAACGGUCAGGUCAUUUGAACAGCAUAAGAAAGAAACAGAAGAGGAAUGAAGAACUUGCACAAGUUUUUUAGAUCUGUUUUCUGAUAUGUCUAGUAUUCCUAGUUUUAUCAAUACUUUAGUUAGAAGCAAGGUUUUAUUAUUUAACAGGGAAAUGGUUUUUUUUUUCCCCCCCCUAAAAAGAAUGAAUGCCAUCAUCUGAUACCUACUUUAAAACACUCCUUUCCCUGACCUUAAUUCAUCUAAAUGUCCCUUGGGGACUUCAAAAAUCAAUGCUGCUAAAACUAAGCUUAUCAUUUUUUCCCCCAAGUUUAUUUCUCCCCAUCUACCCUGGUCGGUACAAUGUAAACUUAGGAGACAUUCCAGACUCCCUACUCUGAGGGUCCUCUGACUUCCAGAUCAAGGAGGCACUGCCAAUUCUAUCACGUGCUUAAAAUCCUCCAAUGAUCUUCAUCUUCCCCAGGGUAUUCCCACACUGUCCUCCAACUUAGAAACCUGGGCUACCUAACAAUUUCAGCAUCAUCACAAUGGGCUGUGAUAACAGAUAUUCUAUUUCCCUCCAUUACUUGGAGCUCCGUGAGUGCAGAAUAGGGCCUUCUGUUGAGCAGGCACUAGUCUACACUCAGCUAGGGCCUGCUCAACAGAAGUUUGCUGAAUGAAAACCUGAAAUUAAAGAGUUCUGCAAAUAUUCUGGGGCCCCGUCAAAAGGCCGCUGAUGCAGAGUUUUAGGGUACAGAGGAAGGUGGUGGUUAUUCCCAAUCCUACACACACACACACACGCACAGACACACAAAGGAAAAAAAAAGGUAAGAGGAAAAGGAGACUAAGAAGUGCUCAGAGCAGACUGUGGUGGGAUAAAUCAGUGAAGAUAAGCUGCAGUUUAUUUCAGUCACCUGUUUAAGGCCCUGUGAAAACUUGUUUUUUCAAGUAAAACAGAAAAAGUUCAAGAAGUCAAAGUGUUAUCAAUCACAUAUUGUGGGAAUGCACACAUUCACACAAAUCCAAACCAGACAAGGAGCAGACACCCUACCAACUCAGCAUUCCUUCAUAAAAUCAUUUUACAAACCUGCUACUGGUACCACUCAGGAACAAUACUUUACAAAUGAAAAUGGAAAGAUAAGACGGUGAAAACAUCAUACUUGGGCGAUUUCUUUCAGUGUGCCCUAAUGAAAAUAGCAUGCUUGGCCUAAAGCUUCAGAGAGACCUGGUUCAAAUCCUCUGAUGGCUGCUUAGCUGAGUUUCAAUAUGGAUACUCAUCCAAGGGGAGACCCAUUGGAGAACUGCUUCACCAGGGAUACAGAGUGACUUUUUAAAUUUACUUUCAAGCAGUGAUUUCACAUUUCAAAUUUCCCACAAGAUUAUGACAAAUGCAAUGCAAUUUUAGGCGUAUAUGCCUAACUUUAAACUAGAAAGAAGAAACAUUUUAAUUUAGUACCACAUCUAAAAAUGUCCAAUUCUGUCUAGUCAGUCAAAUGCAACUAGAUUAGAGACCUAUAUGAAUUCGCAUUUUAUACAUUUGGAGUGUCCACCAACUAAAUGUUUUAGUUUGAUAGCUAGUGGAGUAUUCUGAUGUUUUCUUAAGUUGAUGUUAAAAACAGUCUUUUGUGUGAGGCCGAGGUGUGCUAACAUAAGACGAAUAUACAAGCUAUUAAAACACCAGUUGAUAAAAAUCACCUGCUGCAAAUGGCGGCUAAGAAAAUGGGUUCUCUUUCAAAAAGCAAAAAAAGUUUAAUGAAACAAAGCUUUCUGGGCACUGGGGAUAAAAGUCAAGCAAGGUAUGUCCUUUAACAGAAGAUACAUUAUGCAGGUUUCUCUAGAAUGUUUAAGCUUGCCAGGAAACUAACUUCCUCAUUUGAGAAUAAAGAGAAAUGAACUUUAAAUAGCAAAUUUAAUAUAACAAAUUUCAAAAUUCAAAAUAUUAGCUCUUGAAAUGUUUGUUUUGGCUAGUUCUCCAGGCUUAAUACCUAAAUGAGACGUGUGGUUUUAAAAUGUAUGCAACUUACUUUCCUGUAUUUAAAAAAAUCAGUAUAUCUUUCUAGGAAUUACAAUAAAUACACAACCUGGUUGGUUCCAUGUAGGAUUAUAACUUUCAGAUUUUCCUUCAUAUUAAAAUUUUAGAAAAGUUCUCUCAAAUAUAACCACACAUUUCUUGUUUUUCAAAUUAACACUACUUUUUUCAGAUUAUGAAAGUAGUGCAUAUUUAACGCCAGUAAGAUUUAUUAGCAGCCUGUGGGAGGGCCCCCUACUCACCAACACCAUAGAUAAUCCUUACUAUUAGCCUAUUAGGUAAAAUUAUAAAGAUCUGUUUUAAUGUAUACUGACCUGAUUAUUUUUUCCCUAAUUUAUUUAAGGUAUAAUUUAUAUACAACAAAAUUCACCAUUUUUAGGGUGCAUUUCUCCAAGUUCUCACAAAUGCAGUCACGUAACAAAUACCACAAUCAAGAUACAGAGCAGCUGUAUUACCCCAAAAUUUCCUUUGUACCUCUUUGUAGUCAACCUUUCCCCAAGCCCAGUCUCUGACAACCACAGCUAUUGUGUGUCCUUGCAAGUUUUGCCUAGAAAUGGAGUCACAGAGUAUGUAGUCUCUGCCGUCUGGUUUUUCCCAAUAAUGCAUUUGAGAUUCACUCAUGUUGUUGUACACAUCAAUAGGUCACCAUUUUUCAUGGCUGAGUAGUAUUCCAUUGUGUAAAUGUUCCACAAUUUAUUUCAGUUUGGGACAGUAAUGAAUAAAGCCACAAAAAAAGUAUGUACAGGCUUUUGUAUAAACAUAAAUUCUCAUUUAUCUUGGGUAAAUACCUAGGAGUGAGUUUGCUGGGCCACUGCUGGGUAAGUGUAUGUUCAUCUUUCUAAGAAACUGCCAAAUGAUUUUUCUAACUGGUUAUACAAUUUUACAUUCCCACCAGAAAUGUACGAGCGUUUCAAAUGCUCCAUUCACACCCUUGCCAGCUCUUGGUAUUGUCAGUCUAAAAAAUUUUAGCUAUUCUAACAGGUGUGGUUUUAACUUGCAUUUCCCUAAUGACUAAUGGUGUGGAACAUCUGCAUGUGCUUAUCUGCCAUAUUAUGUCUUUUUUGGUUAAUUAUUCAUAAUUUUUCUUUUUUGGAUCAUGCUCUUGGUACUGUACAGAAUAUCUUUGCCUAAGCUAAGGUUGCAAAGAUCCCCUAUGUUUUCUUCUAGAAGUUUUAUAGUUUUCCAUUUUACAUUUACAUCUAUGACACAGAUUGAGUUUUUACAAAUGGCGUGAGGUACUGAUCAAGGUUCAUUUCAUUUCAUAUGGAUAUCAAACUGUUGCCACAGCAUUGCUGGAAAAAAGGCUCUUUCUCCAUUGAAUUGCUUUAGCACCUUUGUUGAAAAUCAACUGGCCACGUAUGUGUAGGUUUAUUUAUGGACUUUCUAUUCUAUUUCACAGAUCUACCAGUCUACCCUUUGCCAAUACAGUCUUUAUCAUUGUAGCUUUUCUACUAAGUCCUGAAUAAUUAUUUGCAGGGUUAAACUUUUUCUUCUUUUACUGGCUAGUUAUAUCACUUCUUUAAUAAAUUCUCUUUUCAUUUGUCUAUAGGGGAGUUUGUCAUUGAUUUGUAAGAACUCUUUCUACAUAAAGAAUACUAUUUCCUAUAUUACAAAUAUUUCCCCAACUUGUUUGCAUUAUAAUUUUGUUUCAAAUAGUAUGUGUACUACAUCCAUCAACUGCAAUCAAAGCUAUUACCCUAUUCCUUAUGCCUCUUGCUUAGAAAGGCCAAGAUAGUAUGAAUAUUCGCUUUUUUCCUUAAUUACUCAUAUACAAAUCCUUAAUUCACCUGGAAUUUACUUUGAUAUAGACAUACACAGAAAUCAAUCAUUUCUUCUCCAAAUGUUGAAUUUUUCCAGUCAAUUUAUUAGUUCUUCCUUUUAUGUUGUCUAAUAAUGGAGGAAUUUAAAAUGAUUAGACCCUGUUCUUUUUUCUGCAUCAUUCAGAAUGACCAGCUGAAGAACCAUGCUAGGAUACAGUGGUGCCCAUGGGGGCAUCAGUCUGUAUGCCAAAAAGCCACAAAGCAGACACUGAUAUGUAUAUUCAAAAAAUGUGUGGCAGCACUAUUUGCCAGGCACUGUGCUAGGUGCUGAGAUAUAAUCAUAAUGAAACCUAAAAGGUUGGCAAUGAAGGGACCUAGGUGAGACAGCACCACUGCACUUUGUGUCCCGGGACUUGCCAAAAUUCACCUCUGUUCAUUCACUCACACAGAAAGUAACAACCACCUGGCUUUAAAAGAUGCCUCCAUCUUAUCUUCCAUCAAAGAUUCUCCUUUUAGAGCUGCUUCCAUGGUAAGUAGGUGCCUCGCCUUACCUCCAGAGGUGCCCAAAAGCACUGUUAAACACUUGGGCUUCAGGUGGCAAGGAGAGGCGCACACCAUGUUUUUUAAGUUUUCGACGAUGAUUUCAUGAUUCUUUCUCAUCUUGCUGCUAUCAGUCAGGGCACCUGACUUUAGGAAGUCCCUGUUACCUAUCAGCUGACAGCUGGAAAUACAAAUUUACUGAACUUGCUAGAAUUAUACGUAAAAUUAACUAAAUAAGGAUCUGAGUGAGACCCUGAAUGAUAGCUACCAGCAAAAUAUAUGAGCUUUGUACAUGGACUUAGGACAGUCCAUUUCAUCUACCAGGAGUCUUUAUUUGCUUGCUUCCUAGUGCUCUGCUGGGUUUAGGACAACUCAAAAACUGAUAAGUGAUCAAUAGGCAGUCCUCUAAUUGGUAAGAUUCACGGAUAGCCAAGGAUUUUGAAGACUGUUUAUCUUACAUAAAGUAACAUAAAAACAAUUUUGGAAAGCCUCCUUACCAUAUGAAAAGCUGCCCCCUUUAUUCUCCUGACAACAGCUGGAGGAGUCAAAGGUUACAAAGUCAGGGAACACUCAAGUUCUCUCUAUUCUUGCCUCUACUAAUUAAUAAAUUCAUUUUGAUACUGAAGCUAGACGGUAAAUCCAAGAAAUUCUUAUCAAGUUGUUUACUGAUAUUGAUAAUACAGCCUUGCAUGGGAUAGAGGGCAAGGUACCUCACAAACUGAUAACUGAGUACAAAACUAGAACUAAUCUAAAACCAAGGGAAUCUUCUGUCUCCAGGUGGAACAUAAUGGGUUUCAGCCAAGUGAAGGUUCUGCCAUAACUAUAAAAAAAAAAAAAA
This is a long non-coding RNA of Cercocebus atys (sooty mangabey), 9984 nucleotides long. RefSeq lists it as uncharacterized. NCBI's taxonomy places the organism in Eukaryota, Metazoa, Chordata, Mammalia, Primates, Cercopithecidae. The record is from RefSeq and is a predicted model, not a curated record. The transcript is spliced from 2 exons.